This 249-nucleotide ribosomal RNA is filed under the name uncultured Paenisporosarcina sp. RNAcentral's name for it is "partial 16S ribosomal RNA". It matches the Rfam family "Bacterial small subunit ribosomal RNA", at positions 355 to 596 of the family's 1533-position model. The record is from RNAcentral. Lineage: Bacteria; Bacillati; Bacillota; Bacilli; Caryophanales; Caryophanaceae.
UAGGGAAUCUUCCACAAUGGACGAAAGUCUGAUGGAGCAACGCCGCGUGAGUGAAGAAGGUUUUCGGAUCGUAAAACUAUGUUGUAAGGGAAGAACACGUACGAGAGUAACUGCUCGUACCUUGACGGUACCUUAUUAGAAAGCCACGGCUAACUACGUGCCAGCAGCCGCUGUAAUACGUAGGGGGGUAGCGUUGUUCGGAAUUACUGGGCGUAAAGCGCACGUAGGCGGGUCGGUAAGGCCGGGGUG